This 408-nucleotide ribosomal RNA is filed under the name uncultured bacterium. Its description in RNAcentral is "bacterial SSU rRNA". It matches the Rfam family "Bacterial small subunit ribosomal RNA", at positions 355 to 775 of the family's 1533-position model. The record is from RNAcentral.
UGGGGAAUCUUGCACAAUGGGCGAAAGCCUGAUGCAGCGACGCCGCGUGAGGGAUGAAGGCCUUCGGGUUGUAAACCUCUUUCGGCAGGGAAGAAGCGAAAGUGACGGUACCUGCAGAAGAAGCCCCGGCUAACUACGUGCCAGCAGCCGCGGUAAGACGUAGGGGGCGAGCGUUGUCCGGAUUUAUUGGGCGUAAAGCGCGCGUAGGCGGCUCGGAUAGUCGGAUGUGAAAACCCAGGGCUCAACCCUGGGCCUGCACCCGAUACUGCCGGGCUAGAGGCAGGUAGGGGAGAGUGGAAUUCCCGGUGUAGCGGUGAAAUGCGCAGAUAUCGGGAGGAACACCAGUGGCGAAGGCGGCUCUCUGGGCCUGUCCUGACGCUCAGGCGCGAAAGCUAGGGGAGCAAACAG